RNA transcript from Leopardus geoffroyi (Geoffroy's cat), 1161 nucleotides. It is a transcript of the gene named serine protease 44-like, with no coding region annotated. The record is from RefSeq and is a predicted model, not a curated record. Lineage: Eukaryota; Metazoa; Chordata; Mammalia; Carnivora; Felidae. The transcript is spliced from 6 exons.
CAACCCUCGGCAGCCCUAAGCGAUAUGUCAUUUUAAACAGCAAAAUCACCAGCGAAAUAACAUAAAAUUGAAAGAAAAAAUGUGGCGCUUGACAGAUUGGGAACAGGACAGGUAAGGAUUACCGCCCUAGCCAGGGUCCUGCGUUGACCUCAGGAAGCCCAGAGACGCCGUCGCCUCCAGGGCUCCUGGAAUCCUCCAUGACAGUAUCCACUGCAACUCCUGGGCCUCCAACACUCACAGUGGGAGAGGCCUCAGAGUCCACCCAGACCACUGGAUCCCAAACGUUCUCUCCUCAAGUGAGCCAACCAGGAUGCGGCCACAGGUCUAUGAGGAUAGUUGGGGGAAUGCCGGCCCCCAGGAGGAAGUGGCCCUGGCAGGUGAGCCUGCAGAUCAGUAACAAACACAUAUGCGGAGGCUCCCUCAUUGCCAGCCGGUGGGUGCUGACCGCUGCCCACUGCGUCACUGGCCAUGAGGAAUAUACAGUACGGCUGGGAGACAAAUCGUUAUGUCCUAAUUCCAAAACGACACUGGUGGUUCCAGUUGAAGACAUCGUUUGCCACCGCUUUUUUGAUGAUACAACUUUGAGACACGACAUUGCCCUUGCUCUGCUGGCCUUUGCUGUGAAUUACUCCUCCUACAUCCAGCCUGUGUGCCUCCCUGAGAAGUCUUUCCAAGUAGAAACUGGGACGGAGUGCUGGGUGACUGGCUGGGGCCGACUGGAAGAAGGAGUUUUAGCACCGAUGCCAGUUCUUCUUCAGGAGACGGAGCAACGCAUUCUUCACCACAAGAAAUGCAACUGGAUAUUGCAGACACAGGAACGUUUUGCAGCAUGGUGAGAAAAGGGAUGAUCUGUGCCUAUCGAGCAGAGAAGAAGGGUAUCUGUAAGGGAGAUUCUGGAGGCCCCCUGGUCUGUGAAUUUAAUGAAACAUGGGUCCAGGUGGGGAUUGUGAGCUAGGGCAUUGGCUGUGGUCACAGAAAUUUUCCUGCGGUUUAUACAGAAGUUAGUUUCUAUAGGGACUGGGUUAUUGAUCACUUGAGUCAGGCUUGCUCUUGGGACUCAGCAGGCUGUUUCAUACUUCUGUGCCUGGUGCUGCCCCUGGGCAUCCUGGUGGCCCCAUGAUCACCCCUGCCCACUCCCCUCCUGUUUCCGACUCUUAACAC